CACGUAGGGGGCAAGCGUUAUCCGGAAUUAUUGGGCGUAAAGAGCUCGUAGGCGGUUUGUCGCGUCUGCCGUGAAAGUCCGGGGCUCAACUCCGGAUCUGCGGUGGGUACGGGCAGACUAGAGUGAUGUAGGGGAGACUGGAAUUCCUGGUGUAGCGGUGAAAUGCGCAGAUAUCAGGAGGAACACCGAUGGCGAAGGCAGGUCUCUGGGCAUUAACUGACGCUGAGGAGCGAAAGCAUGGGGAGCGAACAGG
This 253-nucleotide ribosomal RNA is filed under the name uncultured bacterium. RNAcentral describes it as "partial 16S ribosomal RNA". It matches the Rfam family "Bacterial small subunit ribosomal RNA", at positions 524 to 776 of the family's 1533-position model. The record is from RNAcentral.